CUUUAUUUUUCUUGCCGUGAGGCGGGAGCCUGGGAGCCGUCCCGUGGGACCGGAAAGCAGCAAGAAUGUCUGCAGGAGGGAGAAGCGAGUGCAGCCGCAGAUAAAGCUCCAGCGCCUGUUAACACUUCUUGGGACUGGGCAGGGCUUGUCCUCUUCUUCUUACCUGGCACGGAAAGACAAAGACAACCCAGUUGGCUUUGGAAGGUUCAUGUUACCUCGUUUGUCACUUUGCACGGAAACAAUUGGCCUCACAGCAAUGGAAUCUGCAGUUUCCUCCAGGCAGGAGCUUCUCAGUGUGACUCAUGCUCACUUUUCCCGGGAGGGAAGGACCCCGAGUGAAGGAAAUUUAAUUAACUUUGUAAAAAAUGGACGCUUAAAUUACAUUAGGCAAACGCAUUUCUAAAUGCCUGCCGAAAUUUCCUCUUCCGAUCACUUAAAAUAACACAUGUCAAAAACUGAACUGGGUAUUUUCUCUCCUCUCGCUGAUUUCUCCGCUCAACUUACUAACAAAAAUAUUACCAUAGUCAUCCGGAUUUGCAGAUCUGAGGUCCUCUUGCCUUUGCUCUCUACCCUGCCUGGCACAUCCUACCUGCUAUGAAAUCCCUUCCGUUACUUCUUCACACCAUUUUUCACAGUGGUCUUUUCCUUUGUGUUUUCAUGGACACUGUCCUAGCUCAGGCAACGAUCUUUCUUCCCCUCACAUACAGUUGCAACGGAGAAGUCUGUUUUCUCUGGGUCCCCAAGGCCUCCUGCCCUCCAGUCCAGGGGACAUGUUGCUGCCAUCUUGUCAUAAGCUGAUCAUCUCAAUGAUAUGGCAUGAUUUUCUAUUCUCUAUAGCAAGAUGUGCACCUCCUUCGUCUGACAUUGAAGGUUCUGCAACAUCUUUAUUGACCAACUUUACUUGCCUUUUCGCUAUUCAAACUUCUUGCUUCAGUCAAAAUAACUACCAAAAAUUCCCUGAAAAUGCCUCAUCAUUUUUCUGCCUUUGUGCCAUGUGAUUCAUAAGACACUUUUCACCUGUCUAUUGAAAUUGUAUCCAUCCUUCGAAGUCCAGGCCAAGUGUCCCUUUAACUAUGAAUAUAUUCCCAGUCUCUCAGAGAAAAAGUUACAUUUCUUCCCUAGAAAUACCUAACACUUGCUUACAUGAGUUAGGUAUUUCUAGGGAAAUUAUUUCACAUAGUUAAUAAUUUGUCCAUAUAUCUUAUCUGUCCACAUCUCCUCUGACAUACCCUGAAAAA
RNAcentral lists this long non-coding RNA (1238 nucleotides) under Homo sapiens (human). RNAcentral's name for it is "HSALNT0112785". Lineage: Eukaryota; Metazoa; Chordata; Mammalia; Primates; Hominidae. The record is from RNAcentral.